CGGGGUCUCUUCGCCUCUGCAAUCAAGCUCUCCCAAUAAACGUGUGCAGAAGGAUCCUGUUGCAGCGUUACUGCUGGCCAGUCUGGAGCGCGCAAGACCUGCCAUAGGUUACUGGCUUUUUAAUUGACAGGUGAUGCAUCCAUACAAUACAUGAGCUAGUCUCUCCACAGAUGCUUCUGUCUGUCAGGUAAUUAGUCACGGUAAUAAGAAAAGUAACCAAUGCAGGUAGGGCAAGGAUCCUCAUGUGCAGAGGGAGGUGAGGCAGGACAAUGAUGGUGAGCUGCACGCACACUGUGAAGGGAGGCUGGGUGAGCCAAGGGAGAAGAAGCAGCAGAGUGGGUGUGGAGAGGGGAACUGGCUGGCAAGACACCUGGAUGCCAAGUGCAACACCCACAUCCCAGAAACUGUCUUAUUGUGUGUCCAUGGGUGGUGCUCCAGAAAGACAGCCAUAUCCAACAAAAGGACCGUCGACCAUGAUUAUAGGAAUAAGAACCAAGACUCCAGUAGGGGUUUUAAUUGGGAGCGAAGAGGGCUGAUGCAAAGCACACAGCAUUGGAUGUGGGAGAUUCCAACUCGGGCUAGCAGCAGCAGAGAGAGUGCGAGCAGGUGGAUGGAGUGGUCUGAGAUCUGUUGUCUCGGGGGCAAUGUACACCACAUCUCCCUGGCAGUGUAAGGAGCAGGAUGUUUUCAUGUAAGAUACAGAUCAGUGGUCGGUUUGCCGUUGGUCUCAUCCUGUACCUGGUAGGUAAUGAGAUAAAGGCACAAAGGACAGACAUAUCUUACAGAAUUUUAACGGGAAGACAGAAGCUCUCGGUGGAUGGCGGGUGUUGUGGACUAAGGACAGGACAGCCUCUCUGUCUCGCUCUCACAAAGGUCUCUCUCUCUCUGUAGUGACUGCAGCUUCCCCCCACCAUGCUGUGUAAGCAGACGGCUUCUCCUAGAGUCACUCUGGCAUGGCAUUUUAUCAUUUUUAUUGAUUUUUCUUAAUUUAAGACAUACAAAAGUGUAUCUUCCAUUUGAAAAAAAAAAAGAAAGGCAAUUGUGUUUCUUUUAAUUGCUUUGGGGCCGUGCUUUCUUUCUGCUGAUUUACUCUCUUAAUAAACAGGCAGUCCUACGGUGAGACCGUUUUACUUGUAUAAUCAACUGACAUCAUUUUUUUUUAAAUGAAACUAACCCACUGCGGGCUGGAGAGAUGGCUGGAGUUCAGACUGCUGGUGAUUUCAAAAUGAGGCCUUGAGAAGCAGAAGAUUGAGGGAGACGGU
RNAcentral lists this long non-coding RNA (1262 nucleotides) under Mus musculus (house mouse). Its description in RNAcentral is "long non-coding RNA chr5:149231299-149232561". The record is from RNAcentral. Lineage: Eukaryota; Metazoa; Chordata; Mammalia; Rodentia; Muridae.